UGAGGGUGAUGCCAUCGCAAUGACGCAACACACAUCAAGGGGACAGCUUGCAGAGUGAACACAAAAAACUGGGACAUUACUGCAGGCUACGCCUCAUACAACACCCUCGCAGCCUGCCACAUUCCCGCUGGCCCUCUAAUGAACGGAAACCCAGGGCGGAUCUGUCACCAGAACACUGUCCUGUGCAGCCUGGAAAUGGUGGAGCCAAGCAGCCUACACACAGUCUGUCACACAGGGGAGGAGAGCAGAAGAAAUCUAAACAUGUAAAAUAACACUGUACUUCCAUUUGAACAGCUGUGAGAAACGCAGAACUUUUAUGAAUCUGUCCGUUCCAGAUGCAGCUGUGAUGUUGAGAAUGUAGUUCGGCUGGACCCACAGAAUGAAAGCCUGAUGUCUUUUAUGCAAAAGUCAAUAUCUGUUUGUUGGCUCAGACAACCCUUCAAGAGGGGAAAAGAGAAAGAGAGAUCAGUAAAGUCUUUUGUGAAUGACAGAUACAUUUAAAUGGUACUUUGAGUUGAUUAUUACAAUUUCAAAUAGACCUUUUCUAUUUGAAUACAUGCAAAUAUGUAAUAUAUUCCUGUGAAUUUUCAUCUUUAUUAUUCCAGUCUUUACUGUCCUGCAGAAAUCAUUCUAAUAUGUUGAUCUGGAGCUCAAAAAUGUGAAAUAGAAAGACUAUAAAUAUUAUGCAUCUUUACUGUCACUUUUUAUUAUUUUGGUUAUUCAGUGCAUCCUUGCUGAAUAAAAUAUGUAUUUUUAAAUAAUUCAAAAAUGUAGUAUGUAGAAUUCACUGUGCAACCAAUUAUUCAGUAAUUCUUUUGGGAGAUCUGCUUACAGUCAGAGCUCGAGCUGGUGUAAGUGUGUUUAUAGUGUGAAACACUUGAAUCCAUGCAUGUGGCUGUGAAAGAGAAUGAACAGAAGACAGAGUUAACCUUUACUGUUAGACAUUCAGAUCAAUACAUUUAUAAACCAUGUUCUAUUAAUUAAUUUAUCUCUGUCUUAUUUUAAAUGCUUUCAGGCUGAAAGUUAUCUGAGAUUCUAAACAUAAGUACCUUUCGGUUUAGCACAUUUAUUUUUCAGCUGGUUAUACUAACACGCUCUUUAAAUAACAAAGAAAAAACAUUGCGCCAGACUUUAGACCAGGUCUGAGUUGGUCUAUGGCGCAGUCUAUUUUCAGCUACUUAAAAUAACAUUGCGCCAGCAAUGCGCCUGAACACACCUCUUUUUAGACCAGCACGCCGAUGGGCGCACAAAUGAGCACAAAUGCAUUUGCUAAUUAAACGACGUGGAGCUGGACAGGAAAAUGCGAGUGCGGGUGUAUGAUAGGGCCCACAGUUGCAAUCGAAUUGUACACGCGAGAACCUCUGAGUCACAAUGGCAUGUGAGCAUAUAAAGUUUGAUAAAUAUUCCUUAUACUGUUUAGGAUGUUUAUGACCCUACAAAGCU
RNAcentral lists this long non-coding RNA (1443 nucleotides) under Carassius auratus (goldfish). RNAcentral describes it as "lncRNA (ENSCARG00000069973.1)". The record is from RNAcentral. Lineage: Eukaryota; Metazoa; Chordata; Actinopteri; Cypriniformes; Cyprinidae.